UUUCUCUACCUAUGCCUGUUUGCAUUAAGAAUUGGCAAGUUGAGGGGACAAGAUGGCAGAAGAGUAGGGGGACACACUUGCCCUCUCCCACAAAUACAACAAAAAAAAACACAUCUACAGGAUAAAUGACUCACACAGAACAGCAACCAAUCGCUGGCAAAAGAACCGAAACUCCAAUAAAGGCAAGAAGUUCGUGACAUUACUGGGCAGAACAGGAGAAAAGAGGAGAGUGAGAGAAGGUGAAUCCGAGCUGGAAGGGCGCUCCCGAAAGGGAACUGAGGAGGAGAAAGGGAUUCUGCACCCGGGAAAGUCACCUACUCGGGGAAAGAUCAAACGAACUGGAGGAAUCUCAAGAUGCAGAGAAGAGUGUAGCAGUAAGUUGGAGUUCUGAAAAGCGGAUCGAGAACCAAAUGGACCAUCUGAACUACAGGCACAGUCACCAAAAAUUGAGAUGCCUGGGUGGGGGCUGGGCACCGAGACCUCGGCUCCGGAGGUUAGUCCCCGGGAAAGGGCUGGGGGGGAGGGGUGGAGCGGAGACUGCUUGGGAGGUCUAGAAACCGGUCUGUCAAGUUUGACGGGGCAGAGACUAACUGGGAGACUAGAAAGCAAAGCUGUUGCAGAGGAAGGGAGCAAUAUUCUAGGGGCAGGGAAGUGGAAAGCCACAUCAGAGGGAACCUGGGAGAAGAGCCUGGUCUGCACCCGUGCUGGGGAGGGGAGAAAGAAGGGGUGGGUCCCCAUAGAAUACUCCCCACGCCACAGCAAGCUUACCGGCCCGCUAGCUAUCAGAAAGCUGUGCUUCCCAGUGCAUCCCUUCCCCCCACCCCCACCACCCCCCACGCACUCACCGGACCUGGGGCUGCCUGCCAUCCAGGAGGGCUGGCCUCAACAAUUGCCUGAAGCCUACCACUGUAGGGGCUGUCCCUGCACAGGCCUGCUUGCCCUUUGCAGGGGAUACACCUCCGUGGAGCAGCACCAAACACCACCAACCCCCGAGAAAAGGCCUGCAGCCCAGAAAAGCUAGAACAAGCCUGGCCAGGCCUUGAAAAGAUCUGCCUAAUUCUCGGACAGUCUUUCCGAGUCGGCCUGCCCUGAAGAAGAGCCUCGUGGGUUUGCAGUGGCACAGCUAGCCGCUCCAGCUCUCGGGAGGAGCCACACUCCCGUGGAACAAAGGCACAGGACUGCCAGCUCCUGGCAGGACCCCCCACACCCCAGAAAAGCUACAACAAGCCUGGCUGGGCUGUGAAAAGAUCUGCCUAAUUCUGGGACAGUCUUUCCAAGUCGGGCUGCCCUGGGGAGGAGCCUCGUUGGUUUACAGCGGCCCAGCUAGCUGCCCCAGCUCUCGGGGGGAGCCAAACUCUCACAGAACAGCUGCAUAGGACUGCCAGCUCCAGGCAGGGCCCCCCACACCCAAGAAAAGCUACAACAAGCCUGGCCGGGCUAUGAAAAGAUCGACCUAAUUCUCGGACAGUCUUUCUGAGUCAGGCUGCCCUGGAGAAGAGCCUCUUGGGUUUUCAGUGGCCCAGCUAGCUUCUAUACCCUCGGGGGGAGCCACACUCUUGUGGAACAGCUGCAAAGGAUUGCCAGCUCUCUGCAGGAUCCCCUGUAGCCCAGAAAAGCUACAACAAGCCUUGCUGGGCCGUGAAAAGAUCUGCCUACAUUCUCAGAUAGUCCUUCCAAGUUGUGCUGCCCUAGGGAAGAGCCUCUUGGGUUGUCUGUGACCCAGAUAGCUGCUCCAGCCCUCGGGGGGUGCUGAACUCCUGAGGAACAGCUGCCCAACACUGCCAACCCCCUGCAAGAACCCCACAGCCUAAAAACACCAGAGCAAGCUCUGCCUGACUGAGUGAAAUCUGCUACCAUCGUGGUGUGGGUCUCCCAGUCCUGUCUGCCCUCAGGAAGUCCUCCUUUGCUUCAAAGAGACCCUAUUAGCACGAUCAACACUCCAGAAAAGCCACACUGCCUCAAAAAAGACUGACCAACAACACCAGCCCUCAGGAAACAUUCCACGGCAGUGACAAGGCAAACACUGCCCAGUCACAGAGAGUAUAACUCCCCCAGGAGAAAGAAAACAACAAGCAAGAUGAAGAAGCUGAGAAACCACCCCCAGUCAAACCAACAGGAGAACUCACCUAAAACCGUCAACAAUGAAACAGAUCUCUGCAGUCAGACAGACCUGGAGUUCAAAAGAGAAAUAGUGAAAAUACUGAAGGAAUUAAGAGAAGAUAUGAACGGUAAUGCAGAUACCCUCAGAAAGGAACUAGAAAAUAUAAGGAGGAGCCAAGAAAAAUUAGAACAUUCAGUUGCAGAGAUACAAACUGAACUAAGGGCAGUAAAAACCAGAAUGAAUAAUGCAGAAGAACGAAUCAGUGAUAUGGAAGAUAGAAUAAUGGAAAUCACCCAAUCAGGUCAGCAGACAUAAAACCAAAUCAAAAACCAGGAAAGCAAUAUAAGAGACCUAUGGGAUAAUAGAAAGUGGGCCAAUCUAGGCAUAAUAGGAAUUCCAGAAGGAGUAGAAAAAGAUAAGGGAAUGGAAAAUAUAUUUGAAGAAAUUAUCACUGGAAACUUCCCAAAUCUAAAGGAUACUGAGUUCAAGAUACAGGAAGCACAGAGGGCCCCAAACAAAUUGAACCCAAAUAGACCCACACCAAGACACAUAAUAAUAAUAAUGGCAAAAGUCAGUGAUAAAGAGAGGAUCCUAAAGGCAGCAAGAGAAAAGCAGCAUGUUACCUACAAGGGAACCCCCAUAAGGUUAUCUGCUUAUUUCUCUACAGAAACUCUACAGGCCAGCAGGGAAUGGCAAGAGAUAUUUAAAGUGCUAAAAGGAAAAAAUAUGCAACCUAGAAUACUCUAUCCAGCAAGAAUAUCAUUUAAAAUAGAGGGGGAAAUAAAAUUUUUUUCCAACAAACAAAAUCUUAAAGAGUACAGCAACACAAAGCCCAGGCUAAAAGAAAUACUGAAAGGACUUCUCUAAACCAAAAAGAAAGGAAGGAAAGGGAAGAAAAAAGAAAAAAAAAAAGAAGAGGAAGAACUAGGACUGAGGAAACUGCAGUCAGAGAGCAGUCACUCAAAUAAGCCAGCAUACAGAUUUAAUCAUGAACAUGCUUCAAACAAAAUAAAAUUAAAAAUAAAAAAGUGUCAUCAAAUCAUAACAUGUGGGCAAGGGAUGUUAGGAAAUAAAUAGACCCUUUUUGUUUGUUUGUUUGUAUGUUUCUCUUCUUAAUUUUAAUAUAGUAAUCAAGUGUUUGAACCUACAGGACCAUCAGGCUAAAACACACAAUCAUAGGAAGGUGUUAACAUACUUAAAAAACAGGGCAACCACAAGCCAAAACCAAAUAUUGCAUU
Molecule: long non-coding RNA, 3339 nt
Filed under: Sus scrofa (pig)
Lineage: Eukaryota; Metazoa; Chordata; Mammalia; Artiodactyla; Suidae
Description: lncRNA (ENSSSCG00000046735.2, ENSSSCG00110007290.1)
Source: RNAcentral